AGCAUUUGUAAAAUUUGAUAUGUUUUGAGUAAAAAUAGGGGACAAUUUAAAAAUAAAAUUAAUCACAAAGCAAGUAUUUUGUUAAUAACCGGUUAUAUGGCUCUGAAACCGGAGGUCAAUUUUGAAACAAGCUAAUUAUAAUUGGUUAUAUAGCAUUGAAACCGGUAAUUUGAAUUACUUAAAACAUGAUAUAGCAUUGAAAACCGGUAAUGAUAAGAUGUUGUAACACCGAUGUCAUUGGAUAAACCAAAAGAUAUUUUCUUCUAAUGGACUGAAUGCUUCUGAUGAUAACCUAGGUAGACGGUUCCACAAGAAUUAAAGAUCUCAUACUAGCUUUCGUAUUGUCUUAGACUUAUGUAUUAAGUGUUGUUCAUCUUGUUUGUGUUCAAUCAUGAAGUUGCUUUAAUAAUCGUUUGAAUUUUCUUAUCAAUUUUUAUUUUCAGAAUCUUGAAAUGUUGAUUAGACUGACGACUUGUUUCCUCAAAUCUGUAGACGGCUGUGACGGAGAGAGAUGCAGAGCCGCCGCCAAUUCCAGAUCUAUCACUCCAUGAGAGGUGUUUUCAGGCUGCCUCUACCAGAAUCUACAUAUUUCUUCAGCGUAACAAGCACGCCACCGCCACCACCGAAUCUUGAGGGCCGUGACCGCCGAUGACGUAUUCCCCAUUGCAACAGCAGAGUGGGCGACGUAUUAUCCGCAACUGUCUUCCCCCGCUUGCUUCAGCCAUACAAGAAGCUCUACAACCAUCGUUCUGGUCGACCCGUCAUCGCUGCCGCCACUCUCUCGUCCUUGACUGGCAUCUUAGCCGCUGCCGAUGUGACCUUCUUCAUCGACGCUAUGCUAAUCAAAUGUUAGCUUCCGCAGAAAACGAGAAUCAGAUACAACACAGAAGCGCAGCAAGAGAGAGGAGAGAAGUUACAGAAGAAAGAGAAUGGUGAAGAAAUUAAGUGAGUGAGAGAGAG
This 960-nucleotide long non-coding RNA is filed under the name Brassica napus (rape). Its description in RNAcentral is "long non-coding RNA (BNAP_LNC005184)". The record is from RNAcentral. Lineage: Eukaryota; Viridiplantae; Streptophyta; Magnoliopsida; Brassicales; Brassicaceae.